AGAGUUUGAUCCUGGCUCAGAAUGAACGUUGGCGGCGUGGAUUAGGCAUGCAAGUCGAGCGCGAACCCCGCAAGAGGUGAAAGCGGCGAAAGGGAGAGUCACGCGUGGGUAUCUUCCCUCGGGACUGGGAUAGCUGCGGGAAACUGCAGGUAAUACCAGAUGACGUCCCCGGACCAAAGGUGUGAUUCCGCCUGAGGAUGAGCCCGCGUCCUAUUAACUAGUUGGUGGGGUAAUGGCCUACCAAGGCAAUGAUGGGUACUGGGUGUGAGAGCACGACCCAGCUCACUGGGAAUGAGACACUGCCCAGACACCUACGGGUGGCUGCAGUCGAGAAUCUUCGGCAAUGGGCGAAAGCCUGACCGAGUGACGCCGCGUGUGGGAUGAAGGCCUUCGGGUUGUAAACCGCUGUCAGAGGGGAGGUAAUGGGCGGAGGGUCAUCUCUUCGUUUUGACCUAUCCUCAGAGGAAGUACGGGCUAAGUUCGUGCCAGCAGCCGCGGUAAU
Molecule: ribosomal RNA, 502 nt
Filed under: uncultured Planctomycetota bacterium
Lineage: Bacteria; Pseudomonadati; Planctomycetota
Description: bacterial SSU rRNA
Rfam family: Bacterial small subunit ribosomal RNA
Source: RNAcentral